UGCGACCUCACUACGCUUAUCAAGAUCUUUCUACGCUCUUCACGUUCUCACUACGACCAUACCACGAGUUAUCCGAUUGCAUUACGAUCUUGCUGCGAUUAUAACACGUUCUUACCACGAUUAUACUACGUUCAUUGCGCGAUCUUACUACGUUCUCAGCAAUAACGUCAACAUCGUGUUCCAUAACAAUACAGUUCAAUUCCUUCUGUUUCUGAUUAAAUCGUAGAUUUCUCGGAAACAAUACAGUCAUGCCACCAAAAUCUACCAGAACACGUGGGCAUGGUGGUAGGAGUUGAUGUAGAGGUAGAGGGAGCAAAGUAACGAAUCCUGAUCAAGCAGAGAUGUCGGACCGACCAAUCCAACCUAACUUACAACCUAUUGCUGGUCCAU
This 390-nucleotide long non-coding RNA is filed under the name Mytilus galloprovincialis (Mediterranean mussel). The record is from RNAcentral. Lineage: Eukaryota; Metazoa; Mollusca; Bivalvia; Mytilida; Mytilidae.